This 76-nucleotide transfer RNA is filed under the name Candidatus Magasanikbacteria bacterium CG10_big_fil_rev_8_21_14_0_10_36_32. RNAcentral describes it as "tRNA-Thr". It matches the Rfam family "tRNA". From Rfam's summary of the family: Transfer RNA (tRNA) molecules are approximately 80 nucleotides in length. Their secondary structure includes four short double-helical elements and three loops (D, anti-codon, and T loops). Lineage: Bacteria; Candidatus Magasanikiibacteriota. The record is from RNAcentral.
GCCACCUUAGCUCAGUUGGCAGAGCGACACAUUCGUAACGUGUAGGUCCGGGGUUCGAUCCCCCGAGGUGGCUCUA